UUUAACACACCUCAAACUAAACCUUUUAUUCUCCAUAAUCAUUCAAUUUUUUCCAACAACUUAAACCUAUCAACCUUUAGGAUUAAUAGAACUUUUAGUUACUAAGAGAUGUCGCUGAUAUAGUCUUUUCGAAUGACAGAGGCUUGACUUUGGGUAUGUAGGCCAAAGUUUGAGGGGGAGAUGCAUAGGAAUGGGCUGGGAGAUAUAUGAGCCUGAAGCUCUUCUGUUACUUAUUUUACCUCACGUUUUAUUCAUGUGGGCAUGUAAUAGUUUCUUUUUUCAAAAUAAUGAUUUGG
Molecule: long non-coding RNA, 296 nt
Filed under: Nicotiana benthamiana
Lineage: Eukaryota; Viridiplantae; Streptophyta; Magnoliopsida; Solanales; Solanaceae
Description: long non-coding RNA (NBEN_LNC008469)
Source: RNAcentral